Molecule: long non-coding RNA, 1115 nt
Organism: Lagopus muta (rock ptarmigan)
Lineage: Eukaryota; Metazoa; Chordata; Aves; Galliformes; Phasianidae
Exons: 3
Source: RefSeq, a predicted model, not a curated record
AUAAAAUUGUGGGAGGCAGUUAAAGGAAGUCUGCUGUAUGAGGGGAAUGCUGUGUGAUUUUCCAGAGACCUCCUGUUGCCAGCGGGUUGUUGUAUUUAUGUUGCACACUGAUUGGGAAGGAGAUUGCUGGGCAAGCAGCAGUGUCUGACUAUCAGGGACAACGAAAAGCAAGCUCCGUGCCACUAGACUUCCUGUCACAGGAAGUGAGUAACAAAGACUAUGACCAGGAUCAGCAGGACCUUAGCUCCAACCUGGUGGAGGAAAGGAACAACUGGGUUUCUUGGAUGAUGUGGCUUCAAUGGCCUGGUGCAUAGGAACCCCAGGAGUAUAAAGCCACCAGUGCACAAUAUGCCACAAUGCCAUCAAGGUAUAAAGGGGCAGAAUCCAUCUGUUGUAUUUUUGGAGUGACAGGGGGAUCCCAAGAGCUGACCAUAUUGGAGGCUGAAAUGACUAACUGGGAAGGAGUGGACAAAACAUCCCAUGGUGUCUGGCCCUGAGGCCCUGUGCAUCUGUGGCGUAGACUACCUCAGGAGAGGAUACUUCAGGGAAUUGAAGCUGCCUUGGAGAUGGAGAUAUUAAGCAGCUGUCUACCUUGCCUGGUCUUUCAGAGGUCCCUUCUGUUUCAUGGUUGCUGAGGGCCAGCAUGCCAAAUCAGAUUGUUGUAUUAAACCACAACAGUGUAGGAGAAUGAUUAAGCCAGAAACAAAGGUUCUAAUUAUUUCACACUACAUGUUUGACAUAUUCACUAAACUGAGUUGUCAGGCUGCUGUUUUUGGAAUUAUCUUAUGUCAUUGGCAGAUGACUGUUCUGUGAUUUUUAUGUCUACUGAAAAUUCAUUUUAACUAGAAAAUUGUACUACCCUAAAUUCACUUAGAAAAGCUCUUGAGCAACUUGGAAAGUGGUUGCUACUUUAAUCUCUUAACACGUACUGAAACAAUUCUCUAUGCUUGAUAAAAAUCCAUUGAAAAAAAUUAUAUGGAUGUAUUUAAUUCUUCAGUGCACAUCACAGUAUUGAUGCAUAGAAGAUAUUUGUUUUCUGUACUAUGAACAUAGAUAAUUAAUAGAAAACAGAAGGAAUAAUUUGUUUUUAUCUAUCGUUAUGUAUUAUAAACAGA